This 253-nucleotide ribosomal RNA is filed under the name uncultured bacterium. RNAcentral's name for it is "partial 16S ribosomal RNA". It matches the Rfam family "Bacterial small subunit ribosomal RNA", at positions 524 to 776 of the family's 1533-position model. The record is from RNAcentral.
UACAGAGGUCUCAAGCGUUGUUCGGAUUCAUUGGGCGUAAAGGGUGCGUAGGCGGCGCCGCAAGUCGGGUGUGAAAUUUCGGAGCUUAACUCCGAAACUGCAUUCGAUACUGCGGUGCUUGAGGACUGGAGAGGAGACUGGAAUUCAUGGUGUAGCAGUGAAAUGCGUAGAGAUCAUGAGGAAGACCAGUGGCGAAGGCGGGUCUCUGGACAGUUCCUGACACUGAGGCACGAAGGCCAGGGGAGCAAACGGG